Molecule: non-coding RNA, 296 nt
Filed under: Musca domestica (house fly)
Lineage: Eukaryota; Metazoa; Arthropoda; Insecta; Diptera; Muscidae
Description: Eukaryotic large subunit ribosomal RNA
Rfam family: Eukaryotic large subunit ribosomal RNA
Source: Rfam by way of RNAcentral
CCUCCGAAGUUUCCCUCAGGAUAGGUGGUACAUUUAAAAAUUAUGUAAAAUAGUCUUAUAUGGUAAAGCGAAUGAUUAGAGGCCUUAGGACCGAAACGACCUUAACCUAUUCUCAAACUUUAAGUGGGUAAGAACCACACCUUUCUUGGUAUGCAAUUGUGGUUGUGAUAUAAUGUGCCCAGUGGGCUACUUUUGGUAAGCAGAACUGGCGCUGUUGGAUGAACCAAACGUAAUGUUACGGUGCCCUGCCAAUACCAAAUUUGAAACAAUUCCGUCAAAUACCGAAUAUCGGGAGG